Molecule: ribosomal RNA, 253 nt
Filed under: uncultured bacterium
Lineage: Bacteria
Description: partial 16S ribosomal RNA
Rfam family: Bacterial small subunit ribosomal RNA
Source: RNAcentral
UACGUAGGGGGCAAGCGUUGUCCGGAAUCAUUGGGCGUAAAGCGCGCGUAGGCGGCCCGGUAAGUCCGCUGUAAAAGUCCAGGGCUCAACCCUGGAAAGCCGGUGGAUACUGUCGGGCUAGAGUCCGGAAGAGGCGAGUGGAAUUCCUGGUGUAGCGGUGGAAUGCGCAGAUAUCGAGAGGAACACCUGCGGCGAAGGCGGGUUGCUGGGCUGACACUGACGCUGAGGCGCGAAAGCUAGGGGAGCGAACGGG